RNAcentral lists this transfer RNA (69 nucleotides) under Marmota marmota marmota (Alpine marmot). It matches the Rfam family "tRNA". From Rfam's summary of the family: Transfer RNA (tRNA) molecules are approximately 80 nucleotides in length. Their secondary structure includes four short double-helical elements and three loops (D, anti-codon, and T loops). The record is from Rfam by way of RNAcentral. Lineage: Eukaryota; Metazoa; Chordata; Mammalia; Rodentia; Sciuridae. RNAcentral also lists the same sequence under 2 other names.
GGUGCUGUAGCUCAGUGGUAGAGCACUUGCCUAGCAUGUGUGAGGUACUGGGUUCAAUCCUCAGCACCA